UAUGAAAAAAUGUUGUUUUAAAUAAUCCUGAAUUUUCAAAAGAUACUCUUUUAAAUGUGUUCUUGGCCAUUGCUGUUGAUAAUUUGGCCAAUGCUCAGGAACUAACAUUAGCUGAAGAAGAAGAGGCAGAGGAAGAAAAAGAAAGAAACAAAGAAGAAUUAGAAAAAGAACUUGCCGAAUUUCAAGUGCAAAGUACAGGAUCAGAUCCACCGCAAGUUAAUAUCUGUCCUCCAUCUCCUCAAAAUCAGAUAGAUGAGAAAAAAGAAAAUAACCACAAGAAGGAAAAUAUGAAAAAUUGGACAGGUGCCCAUGAAACACAACUGGAUAUUGUAGCAAAUAAAAAACCUGAUUUAAAGGAGAGAAUUAACAUAGAUUUGUUAGAUGAUGAAGAGCAGAAUCAAGAAGUAGAUGAAAAUGAUGAUGAAAUAACAGGGCCCAGACCAAUGUUGCCAUAUUCUUCCAUGUUUGUUUUUUCCCCCACUAAUCCGUAAGUAAUUUUAGUUGUAAAUGAAAACUUUCAAAGUUUUGUUGUAUUUUUAUACAGUCCAGAAGAUAUACUUGCAAAAGAAUCACUGUAAUCAGUUUUCUGGUUUUAUCAUCUUAAAAUUGGUCCCACUAGUCAGGAUUUAUGAUACAGUUUUGUAUUAUGCCAAAAUAUCUUCAAGUUAAGA
This is a long non-coding RNA of Centruroides sculpturatus (bark scorpion), 671 nucleotides long. RefSeq lists it as uncharacterized. The record is from RefSeq and is a predicted model, not a curated record. The transcript is spliced from 4 exons. NCBI's taxonomy places the organism in Eukaryota, Metazoa, Arthropoda, Arachnida, Scorpiones, Buthidae.